Molecule: long non-coding RNA, 1048 nt
Organism: Brienomyrus brachyistius
Lineage: Eukaryota; Metazoa; Chordata; Actinopteri; Osteoglossiformes; Mormyridae
Exons: 3
Source: RefSeq, a predicted model, not a curated record
UUCAUUUUUGGGUGUACUAUCCCUUUAAGCAACAAGUAUACCUCACUUCUUUGACAUAUCAAGAAGGGCACUGCUCUCUUUCAAUUUUUUUAUCAUGUCUACAUUAGGCUGAUCCAGGCACCUUGCAAGACAGACAUCAGAACAUAUUUGGAUGCUUUCUCCCAUUUUAAAAGUGGCUCUCACUGCUUUGUAUUCUUCAGGAUUUGCAACUGCCAACUCAGCAAUGGGGGCGUGCAUGACAAAUGUGUUUCUGUCAACAUUCAUUUUGUUGUACGCUUCAGCUUUAGUGAAGCCACCAUUUACCAGGUGUAACACUUUGUGGUAGCGUUUGAUGGAGUCUUCAGGGUUUUUUACUGGAGGGGAAAGAAGGAUGUUGUACAAGUCCGAUAUAACAAAGAUUCUGAGGAAUCAGAAGAUUCAUCACUGGACACCUUCUCCUUGGAUGCAGCAGUAUUGGAUGAAGAUGCAGACAGUGUCUGUCCAGGAGACAUUACGGCUUCAUGCCUCAGAAGUGCUAUGACAAAGAACAAUUAGAAAUAAGUGUAGAACAAAACUACAGUAUGGACGAGGGAGAGGAAAUGGGUGUUUGGCAUUCUAGGUGUGAGGAAUAAACACAGACACCCAAUCUUGCGGCUUGUGAAAAGAAGAUCAAGAACACACCUCGUCCCCAUAUCUGUGAAACAUGUGCGUCCAGGCACUACCAUUAUUUCAGAUGAGUGGAGAGCCUACCGGGGUGCUUUGGCCAGCAUGGGCUACAGACAUUUCACAGUAGACCAUUCCCAGUGGUUUGUAGACCCACACAGUGGAGCUCACUCACAACACAUUGAAAGAGCGUGGCUGACAUACAAAAGGAACGUAUGGAGACUAAGAGGGAAUAGGACAGAGAAGAUGCUAAAAGGACACCUCUCACUCAUAGAGUGGACUCACUGGCUUGGGGAAAAACAUGAGCAGGGACCACUUGGGCGCAUAAUAAAAGACAUUUGCCAUCAAUUUCCUGUUUGGAGGACAACAAGCUGAACAUUUGUAUUUUGUGUAAGACAUAAGUAAA